AUCGACUUCCGCGCUCUUCCCGUCAGGAACCAAAUUUGGAUCAAUGAAGAGUGAUCAAUGCCAGGGGUUCCCUUUCCCCUCCAUAUGGCUAUCCCCGAUUCGAAGCACACUGAAUGUGGGGAAACUAUGUUGCACUGGACCGGAAAAGUCCACGGAUUUUUUUCGGAGAAACCCCAAAAGGAAGAGCUCGCUUGAAACGUCGAGCAUGUCCAUUGCACGAUGUGCAGUUUACCAGUUACCAAUGAAAUCCUGUGCUGGGUGUUCGGAACUUAAGUUCAGUGAACCUUACUUCCAGGUUAGUGUACAGGGCUCUGCCGCCUAAAAGAGUCCUCCCGGAGCCCAUAUCCUCUCGACGCACUUACUGCGAAAAGCAAGUCCCAAGGCUUUCAGCGGACCUUGAAGCUAUUCUGGGUAGAGUUGUGGGAGGUAAAAACCAGGGGGGGUUCAGUCUGCGAGUUAGGAAGAGAGCAACUGACACUAUUCCCAUACCGUUCGCUGCUUUCGAGAGAAGUGACAUCGGAAGGAAUGAGUCUGCCAAGCCAAGCCAAAUCCAUCGGACUGGUUCCAGAGGCAACGCUUGGAAGAUCGGCGUCUCACGGACCAGUGAAGAUUUCACAGUGAAGUAAAUAUGAGAAAGCCCCUCCCGGGUUCAGUCAGGUGGAAGCUACAGCGGGCCUUCGUCUUCUCCAGAACUCCUUUCCAGUCUGAGUGGAUGCCUCUGCUCGAGCCCCUUCUCCAGCCGGAAAGAUCCACUCCCCGGCCCAGGAAGACAAAUUCCGUCUCCACCCCCCCAGAGUCCAGCAGAGGCCUUUCCCUCUCUAAUUUUCUCCUCGACAAAUUCCCGGUGCCUCUAAAGGGAUUGUGAAUUUAGGACAGGAAAGAAACUCCUCCCCAGCAAAAGCUGCAAUGGUGCCGACUGGCCCUGACAAGCUCAAGGAGCAACUCAAGAGGGGCUGUCCUGUCAAGAAUGCGCGCAUCGGUUUGCAGCUGAAAAAUCAUCCGCAGACACGCCAUUCCUACCCAGACGGACUGGGCUCAGCGGGUCCUAUUUCCAGCGACCUCGGUUUGAAUGAGAGUCUGGUCAAUUUCAGAACUGCGAGAACUGCAACUCAAUACAGACAAAAAGGUCUCGGCGCGCUUCGAGUCGUUGCCUUACUUAGGAGCGGGCAUCGCUGAAACUUACUUGCGAGGACAUGUUGCGAGGAUCGGGAUGCUGAUUUCCCUCCUCUCCAGCCCUUGUUGGAAAGCGAAUCUACCGCACUGAAUUAGGAAGUGAUGCCCGCAUUCUUAAUGCAGAAAUCCCUCAAAAGGAGCCACAGGGGCCGGUUUUCGCUUUUGGACAGGAGCUUUGGAUCUUCCUCCGGCUGCCAUCCUCGAGCAUUCUUGCCACGAAGUCCCAUGGAGCACAGUGGAAAUUAAUUCUGAAUAAACCCUCUUUCGAUUUGGGCUAGGAGAUAUAUAUUAGUAGUCUGGGCACAGCUGGCCGAUUAAAGCGCUGCAGAGCGGACUCUGACGGAGUUUGGUCCUGCGACUUUCUAUUUCGGGAGCGCUUCGGGCUUCAUCCUCCUUUAGUUAAGCUUUUGGGGGCCGAGAAACUGCUAUAGCCCCGAAGGGUCCGCGACUCCUUUAAAGCCUGGCCUUUAAUGAUAUUCUCUUUCCCACCCCCAUAUUUCUUUCAGUGGAUCUUUUUUUCAGAUCUAGAGCAUUUGGGAUCGCUCGGUUUCUGACUCCGUUUGUUUAUGACUCGGAAGUAAAAGUCACGUUGGGUCUCCCUUCCAUGGAGUUUGCGGGUUGCUAGCGAGAUCAGUGCUGCUUAGGACAAAGAUUGCUUUAAAAUUCCGGUCGGCAUAUAUAUAUUAUUUUUUAAGCGGAGUUUCUUUCAAGUCAGAGUAAGUCCGUUCUAAGACCUUACACCACGAUCACAAUUCCAUGUUAACUCCAUUGACCUGAAUGACAUUUCCUGCCUAGUAAAUAUAUUUACAGUGCCGGACGGGGCAGCCCGAUCUUAAACCUGUUUACUCCAGAGUAAAUCCCACAGAUUUCACUUUAGACUUGCAGCGCAAUCCUCACCCUGUCUAUGCAGAGGUUAAGUACUGGUUAAUUCAAUGAGGGCUUACUCCCAGAUAAGUGGGGUUAAGAUUGCAGCCAUAAAUCCUUAGAAAGUAUAUUUAGGAUCGCAGCCCUGCUGUCUUUAAACCCAAGUCACUUCGGCUCAACGCAGAUUAUUGCUAGAUUUUGCAGAUCAGGUUGUCAGAUUUGCUUACAAGCUUCCAAGACCUACACUUCCGACUGCAAGCCUAACCCCCAUUACUUGGGAGCAAGCCCCGCUGAAUUCAGUAGGGCUUACUUCUGAGUCGACAUGAUUCGAUUUGCGCCGUAAACUAUGGUGUUAAGCGCCCAUCUCUCUCCAAAGUGAAAAUGUGGCGUGAAGGGGGGGAGAAGAGAGAGAUUUGUUUGUUUUGAACUGAAUCACGGAGCGCCAGGCUGAGACAGCCUAAGGGAAGAUGCUCCAUACUAAUACUUGCUAGUUCUUGCAUUCUGCAGGCCUUCACGCCCAAAGUUGAUUUCUGAGGAACUGCUUAAUAGCAAUGCAGUCCUCAUCCCAUUGAGAUCAAUACGGCUUACUCCAAAGGUAACAGUGUCUAUCAAGAGCUGCGCCCUCAGGGCCGGGCUUUGGGGACAGAGGUCUAGGGCCCCACUCUGCAGCAGGGCUGGCUCACCCCCACUGAAGUAAAGUGAAGCAAUGCACAUGACCAGCUAAAGUCGGGGGGGGGGGCGGCAUUAGGCCCUUCAGUCAAGAGUGGGGCAGAGCGAUCUGAAGUGGGGCCGGAGAAGA
Molecule: long non-coding RNA, 2836 nt
Organism: Rhineura floridana
Lineage: Eukaryota; Metazoa; Chordata; Lepidosauria; Squamata; Rhineuridae
Exons: 2
Source: RefSeq, a predicted model, not a curated record